UACGGGGGGGGUAAGCGUUGUUCGGAAUUACUGGGCGUAAAGGGCUCGUAGGCGGCCAACUAAGUCGGACGUGAAAUCCCUCAGCUUAACUGGGGAACUGCGUCCGAUACUGGAUGGCUUGGAUUUGGGAGAGGGAUGCGGAAUUCCAGGUGUAGUGGUGGAAUGCGUAGAUAUCGGGAGGAACACCAGUGGCGAAGGCGGUUGCCUGGAGCUUUGCUGACGCUGAGGCGCGAAAGCGUGGGGAGCGAUCCGG
Molecule: ribosomal RNA, 253 nt
Filed under: uncultured bacterium
Lineage: Bacteria
Description: partial 16S ribosomal RNA
Rfam family: Bacterial small subunit ribosomal RNA
Source: RNAcentral